AGAGUUUGAUCCUGGCUCAGGACGAACGCUGGCGGCGUGCCUAAUACAUGCAAGUCGAGCGAGCGGAACCAACAGAUUUACUUCGGUAAUGACGUUGGGAAAGCGAGCGGCGGAUGGGUGAGUAACACGUGGGGAACCUGCCCCUAAGUCUGGGAUACCAUUUGGAAACAGGUGCUAAUACCGGAUAAUAAAGCAGAUCGCAUGAUCAGCUUUUGAAAGGCGGCGUAAGCUGUCGCUAAGGGAUGGCCCCGCGGUGCAUUAGCUAGUUGGUAAGGUAACAGCUUACCAAGGCGACGAUGCAUAGCCGAGUUGAGAGACUGAUCGGCCACAUUGGGACUGAGACACGGCCCAAACUCCUACGGGAGGCAGCAGUAGGGAAUCUUCCACAAUGGACGCAAGUCUGAUGGAGCAACGCCGCGUGAGUGAAGAAGGUUUUCGGAUCGUAAAGCUCUGUUGUUGGUGAAGAAGGAUAGAGGUAGUAACUGGCCUUUAUUUGACGGUAAUCAACCAGAAAGUCACGGCUAACUACGUGCCAGCAGCCGCGGUAAUACGUAGGUGGCAAGCGUCGUCCGGAUUUAUUGGGCGUAAAGCGAGCGCAGGCGGAAAAAUAAGUCUAAUGUGAAAGCCCUCGGCUUAACCGAGGAACUGCAUCGGAAACUGUUUUUCUUGAGUGCAGAAGAGGAGAGUGGAACUCCAUGUGUAGCGGUGGAAUGCGUAGAUAUAUGGAAGAACACCAGUGGCGAAGGCGGCUCUCUGGUCUGCAACUGACGCUGAGGCUCGAAAGCAUGGGUAGCGAACAGGAUUAGAUACCCUGGUAGUCCAUGCCGUAAACGAUGAGUGCUAAGUGUUGGGAGGUUUCCGCCU
RNAcentral lists this ribosomal RNA (864 nucleotides) under uncultured bacterium. Its description in RNAcentral is "bacterial SSU rRNA". It matches the Rfam family "Bacterial small subunit ribosomal RNA", at positions 8 to 838 of the family's 1533-position model. The record is from RNAcentral.